This is a long non-coding RNA of Eurytemora carolleeae, 186 nucleotides long. RefSeq lists it as uncharacterized. The record is from RefSeq and is a predicted model, not a curated record. Lineage: Eukaryota; Metazoa; Arthropoda; Copepoda; Calanoida; Temoridae. The transcript has 2 exons.
UUUAUUGUUCAUAAUCCGUGUUUCUAGGUGAGGAUGGCAGAUGGGUCUAGGUUGGUGGUGAAGUUGAACCACACCCACCUCGUGGCAGAUCUGAGGACGUAUAUCUGUACUGCCAGGUCCGAGUAUGCUAGUGUACCCUUCUCUCUCAUGACAACGUUUCCUAACAAAGAGCUGACUGAUGAUAAA